Long non-coding RNA from Gallus gallus (chicken), 8448 nucleotides. RefSeq lists it as uncharacterized. The transcript has 2 exons. The record is from RefSeq and is a predicted model, not a curated record. Lineage: Eukaryota; Metazoa; Chordata; Aves; Galliformes; Phasianidae.
UGCUGCUCCGAGCGAGGAGUUGAGGACCACUGGCAGGGCUGGGUGCUGUGCUCCUCUGCCUGCAGAGCAGGAGGGUGCCUGCCCCGGCCCUCGGGGUGCUGUGGGGAAGGACAGUGCUCAGGACGCUCUGGGGAACAACAGUAUUGAUGUCCCCGUGUCACUGGCUUGGUGCACCACCAGGCCAUCCUCCCCCAUCAUCCUGGAGCGUGCAGGCCCCGUGGUGGUAAACAUCCUCCUGCAAACUGAGCUAUGGGAAAAAGAGCAGUGGAGAGUCCAGGGCUUCAUUUUACUCAGCUGUGUCUGUGUGACUUGGAUGUUAAAAAAGAUCUCCCAGGCUCAUUAUAGUGAAGCCAUGGUGAGAUACAACAGCAGUUGUAGGAGAGAAGCCUGCCCACCUACUUUACAGGAACAGAUGGCUCUCCCCCUCCAGACCCCACUCAAACACCAGGCACACGCCGUGAGCCCGCCGGCACUGCUCUUACCAGACACCCUCCUUGUGGCUGGGCCUGGCUCACCCCACUGUGAAGAACCCACGUCUCAUCCGUGGCACUAACAGAGGUGUCCCCAUACCCAGAAGGUAAUAAAAACCCAAACCAACUCUGACAGCAACUUUGCAGGCGAAAUGUCCAACGCAUUCAAUGCUGAGCUCUCGCUGCAGGACUUGUGGGGUGGAUAAAACAAGCAAGCCUGAGUCCGUUGAAUUGCUUUAGUAAAAGGUUUAUUGGAAAUAUUUUUGUGCAGACAUACAACAGUCAACAAUGCUGUUCAAAGCUACAAAUUUGCUAAGUUGUCAGAACCUUCUAAAAAUACGAGUAAAUGACCUUCAUUUGUAUUCAGUCUGGGAGGGAAACAAACCCCACUGUAAUGCGAUGCUGCGCUGAAACGACCAGAGGACAUUAAUAGAAGGUGAAAAUGGGAAGGCUUCUGGAGGAAAACCCACACAGCACCCAGCUCCCACUGCUCUGCUGGGAGCCAAUUAGACAUUCCCCCACAGCACCACUCCAUGCUGCAUACCCAGAUUAAAACCUCUCCAUCUGUAACAAUAUUUAAGCAAUUUGAGCACAGAUAUGACAGACAAGUGGGCACACGACUCCGCUCGCUGAUGAAAAAGAUGUCAGUAAGGAUCCUGCCACUCAGACCACUGAAUGUGGGACCUCCCGGACUGAAGGCUGUGCUUUGGGGCAGGUUUUCCCACACAGAUCCACAGGGCUCAGCCGCUUCACUGCUGGGGAUCAGCCCAGGCCCUGCUCGAGGAGAGCUGGGAGCUGCUUGGGGCUGCUUUCAGUCUACGUGCUGCCGGAGGUAAGAGCAGUGUGUCUGCACUCACCUCCUAAACCAGAAUAUCAACCAGAAGGGCAAAGCAGAGCACACACGGCAGCUGUUCAACUCCAUGUUUUCCAAGAAACCCAGCAGAUGUUUUGAAGGGGAUUAAUUUAUGCCAAGACAACAUCUGGAACAUCUUCUCAGGGAAGCCACCCAGUAAGGUGGCCAGAACCUAAAACAAUCACGUCUUUCUCUCAGUGUUGGCUUUCUCUCCCUCAGCUUCAUCACUCUGUAAUUACAGGGGUGCUGACCUCACAGUUAUGCACGGUGACACUUUGGCAAGAUUAUGGCUUUCCUUCAUUGUUAGGCUUUGCAUGACUGCCCUGAGCUGGGGGCUUGCCUGCACCAAAUCACUCCUUUACCCACUUACGUUUUGCUUCAGCAUCCAUAGAGACGCUGCGAGAGAAACCCUGCAGAUUUCGAGCUUGUCUCACCAUCACGCAUACAGGAAGGUUUCAGAAGAUGUUUACCUUCUGUCCACACCACAGAUGAGUAGGCCCUAAAUUGGCAUGAAACAGCCACCAGCCUUCAAAUGAAAAGGCCGGCUAUUCUGACCAACAGGGCCCCUCCACCUGCCCACGGGACAGGAACCAGUCCAGGAGCACCACUGAUGAGUUCUACCUGAGAAGUCUGCUCCCUGGACAACUGAAGCCACCCAGCAUCCACUCCCCGUGUGCCCCUGGGGCAAACAACAGCCAGCAAGCAAUCCUGUGAGCUGUCCCACAAACCAACCACUGGUGCCUACACUGGACAGCAGAGGCUGCUGGCAGCAACGUGUUCCCUUCCUCCAAGCUCAGCUUGGAGUCAGAGAGACCUCAUCUUCAGGAGAUAAGAGCACUGCAGCGUGCCUACUUCCAGCCCAGAAGUCUAGGAAGGAACCCAGGGAAGAAGCUUUAUCAUGGCUCUUCAAGGAUGGCUGCUCUCCUGCUAGCAGCCGCAGCAGUCCCUGCCCAGCCAUUUCAACCCUGGCUCCCUCACCCUUCCCGACCACCCAUCCCAGAGCAGAUGGCAGGCCAGAUAACGCUCAGAUCAUCUGGGCUGUCUGCAGGUCACUGAGAAGCUAUCAAUCACCUUUGGGAUGCACCUUUGCAGCCAAGCAGCACAGGGCACUCUCUAGUUUUCAUUCGCAAACAAGGCUCAAAGCCUCCAUUCAUCUUAUUGCCAGGUGAAGGUAUGAUAAGUUAUUCUUUGCACCCGUAUGUGGCUUGCCUUUGUCAUGUAUUGCACUGACAGGUCCUGCGGCCUCCUCCAGACACAGCAUGUGCUUACAUGUAACAGCCAUUCAGCUGUGACGGUGUGAGCAGGGACCGGUGCAGCCAGGCCAGGAGGCUGAGCACUGCGAGGAGCUGAGCCACAGCACAGACCCCGGCAACGGUGAGUGCAAUGGUCUGUCCUGAAACGGCCGGAAGAUUCUUAGGCAGCCUGAGCCCAGUGGUGUGGAGACUGAGCAUGUGGGCAGAAGCAGACUGCUGCCGAAAUGGAGCAGAUACAGCACAGACACAGCCAAUUUCUCCUCCAAGCCAGUAUGGCUGGAAAGACCUGUUGUGGUGUUUCCUAUCAUCGUCGUGUCCUGCUGAGCAGUAGUCUCAGUGAGAGGCCAGGAGUGUGCCCUGCAAACUGAUGGAAGUUUAAGGCAUUGAUAAUGCGAUGAUCCAAAACUAAGGUAAAAUACCCUCUGUGCCAUUAAACCAGGGAUUUAGCUGACAAAUCCAAUGUGCUGCUGGGGGUGAGCACCUGCUCAAGGGCUGCUCCACUUCAAACCUGAGCUGUGAGGCAUAAUAGCAGAACUGUCCCCAGAGUACUUAAAAACAAAAUUAAGUCAUUAUUUAUAAAACCUGGGGAGAAUUUCAAUUGGGCAUUACUGCACUGAUGACUGGAGGCGAUGCAAAACCACAGAGGUGGUGCUUUAGCCCCAAGGGACAAAAGCUGUGGGACAGGAGCAGCACGGGAACCAUGUGCCUCCCCCAGGGCCUUGGGGGUGUCCACAGACAGCCCAGUUGCACCCAGCGUGCCCCUGGCCACCUCAGUCCCCAGAUCUCACUUACUCUGGUCCACCCAAGCAUUCCCUUCUUUAUUUAUGAGCAUCGAUUGUCUCCCAGCCAACAUGCUCCAGUACACGCUGCGAACAUCACACAGGCUUAGGAACAGAGGCCUUCCGUGCAGCGUCUGCUGUGUGCUGCUGGCGGGGCAGGCCGAGCCUGCACACUUCUGGCACGCAUGGAGAAGCGUGUGGGCUGGUGAAGUGCCGACUAGUGAGGCUUGACUGCUACCUUAAUUUACAUCCCUACAGUUUGUGUUAUCUCCAGACACAAUUUCAGAUACAUUAGCAGCUCAGUUUGACUCAGAUACUCAUAUUGGUUAUUUGCCAUUUCUGCUUGACAAGUAAUUCCUGACUUCCCGAGCUGGUCCCAAACAGCAAGGCCUGCAGCCCUGGCAGGGAAAAGGAAAUGUCCGUGUGCUGCUCAGCACUGCUCAGCUCCCUGCCACUCAUUUGUUACUGGGUGGCUGCCAGAGGAAGGGCAGCUUGUGUGCAAAUGAUGGUGUUACAAAAAGGAGCAGGGAGCAGCCAGAUCCAGAUUUAACUCAGGAAAAUCGUGACUUCUUCCUGAAUACUGAAAAAAAAAACCUGACCUGAACCAAGCGCCACCACUGUGGUCAGUGCAGAGAGAUGCCGAAGAAACCCUUCUCUACUCAACCCCAGGUAGUUAAAUCUGGACAGUCAAGCAGAAACCUCCCAUUCCUUCUGCUCCACUACCCUGUCUAGCCGAUGACAUCUCCAUAGAGCGCUUUCAAAGGCCACUGUUAUUGCUACGUGCAUUUGUGUUAAUGAACGAGGAAUCCUGUUGAUACAGAACAGCUGCCCUUCUCCUGUUGUUAACGUGACGCUGGAAUACACCUAAUCAUUGUUCACAACAGCAAGCAACUCCAACAUCCAGCCUACAGUGUAUUACAACAGAUUAAUUCCUGUAAUGACUCCAAAGAAGAAGAAGAAUGCCAGGCCUUGACCUGGGUGGGCUCUGCAGGAUUAACUCAGAUGGAGAUUAAGGCCUUACAGCGAUGAUAAAGCCUGACCCGCCAGCCCCGGUGUCACAUACUGUAUAGCUGUGUGACAAACCCCAUGUGUAAUUCCCAUUGAGCUGACAUCCAACACACGCACCUCAAUCCAAGCCCCCACUCGCUCGAGGGAGGGUUUGUCUUUGUGCCCCCCCCGACCUCAAUUUACAGCGAGGUCAGAGUGAUGCAGCCCACGGCCGGCGCCAACGAAAUGAAUCACAUUGGAUGGCAGCUGCUCCUCCCCGGCACCUCUCACUGGCUCUGUAAAACGUUUGUUGGACCAAGUUAAGAACAGAAAAGACUCAGGGAUCCUUUCUGUUCUCCGCUCAACACAUUUAUUUGCCCUCCUCCAUUAUUCAGAGGUUUUUAGAAGUUUUUUUUGGUAUCCUCAAGAAAAACCUCCACAUUGUUUACGUACCGAUGUUUAGUGUGUGGCUUAGAGUACAAAGAGUGAGCUGAUCUCACGUUGUCUCAGUGGGAAGUUAAUUUUCCCUGUGGUGCUACAAAAGGAAGAAGCAGUUAGCAGUUUCGAGGACACCUCACAUUUCCUAAAACGAUUUUGCUUCUAAAUGAAAGAAACUGUUUAACAGGUUAGAUCGGGAUUAAGAUUUGCGAGCUCCUGGGAUCAGGUUUAGCCUUCCUUUAUUUAUUCUCUCCCCUACAAUUCCUGCCUUUAAACAAAAGUAAUCUCCCAGAAAAACACACGCACGCACACACUUGGCCCCUCGACAUUCGCGCCUAUGGCAAAAUUAUUUGCAGUUUCCCCUUAUUGCAUAAUUGUCUCAUUAGCACUGCAGAAAGAAGGCGAUGACUUUUCCCUCCGUGCCAUCGACCUAAUCCAGGAGCAAUCCCGCCUGGUGUUGCAAGAGCCAAACCUUCUUAACACAGGAGGGGACUCGGGCCCCCGAGGUGGCAUUGGGAACCAGCCUGCCGCUGGAGCGCCGGCAUUCCCUCACAGCCCAUCAGCGAGAUGAAGCCAGCGAGCCAGGCCGGCUUCUUUCCUUUUCUUUGCUAAGCAUAAAUAUUCAUAUUCAAAUUGCUUUCGGAUAUAUUUAAAUCAACAAAAGUUCUGGAUGACGGUCAAUAGGGCAAGAAACAGCUCCAACUUUUUAAAUGCACAGAUGUAGUAUAUACAUUAACCACAAAACCUGGCUAGAACACAGCAGUAUUUACUUUAUGCUAUUCAGAAACGUGGCUUGGCGACUAAAAUUAAUAGAACUUGUCUGGAGGACAGCAUAAGCUUUCUAAGAGCUCUUUCAGCUUUAAGUUAUGCCCCGGUUUUCCCUCUUUUUCCAUAGUGCCAAUGUAUGCAGCAGCACGCUUGCCCCACUCACAGAGCGAGUCAGUGAAGGCAGCAUUCCUCGCAGGGCUCGCCAUGCAGAGGGCGGGCAGCCUGCGGACGGAUCUGCUUUAGAGAAGGGCCCGCUCUGGCCGCACAAACAAACAGCAGGUCUUCCCUCCACAAUGAGCAGCUCUGUGUGCACGUGUUAACAUGCGUGUUAACCUUUCCUAACUUCCCCCAGCCUGCCCGUCCCACCUGGCUGGAGGAACGCCUCUGUAGGGUCACAGCACAAGGCUCCCGUGUGCGUGCACACACUCUUCCGUCUACAGAUGUGAGAAGCUUCCACCUCUCUGUCCCCACUGGUUCAUUCUAUUGUUAAAAUGGGAGUGGGAUAAUGGAGGAAAAUCCCAGGCUAAAUCUGAAGCACUCAUCGAAAUACAACCUGCAGUUACCUAUGUGAGUUCCUUUAUGUGAGAAUGCCAUGUGCUCCACACAGCUGCCUGGCAAGCUCUCCAGCUCCCACAGCCUGGCUGUGUGAGUAAGCUAUUAAUCUGUUUUCAGAAAGCUAAGAUAGAGCCCUAAUAAAUCCCGUAGGAGGGCAAGAAGUAUUCUAUAUAAUUCAUUGCUAUUGUGUUAUUCUGUCAUAAGAAGGCAAUAAGCAUUUUUAGCUACAGAUUGUGUUUCCACUGCAAUCAAAAUUUUUAUGCCAAAUUGUCUGUUAAAUAUUUCAGUCAAAUCUAGUAAUCAGUGAAUGCUGGAGGGAAUAAGGUCUACAUGCAGCCGCGUGCUCCUGGUCUGUAUGUAACAAAACAGGAAAUCUCAGCACCCUGUUCCAAUUAAGCAAAGGCUGAUUUCUCAUGGAACAUAAAUUUUCAGCUUUUCUCCCAGAACAACCUUAUGCUGAUGCUUUAAACAGUGGUAAAACAUUGUUUUUAAUUUCACACCUCACAUAGCACAGUCAAAUGCUUCAUAACAACAUAAACAAAACUUUAGGCAGAGCUUUGCGACUGAAGUCAAACAAUGAUUUCCCCCCACAACAUGUACUACUCAAGGUUUGCAGGGAGAAUACAGAAACGUGUUGGCUAAGGCCACAGAAAUGAGUUCUCUGGUGUCUUGGCUGCUGCUGACAACCCUAGUCAAGAAUGUGUUAAGAGUGGAUGCACUGAUCCAAAUCCCAUUAUUCCCACCACCCAUCAAGCAAAGAACCAUUUAUUCUAUUUCUGUUCUCCUUUUGGUUGUGUCGUAGGAUCGAACAACUUGUGACUGGGAGACAACACCGUGUUCUUCUUGAGAAAACGCAUAUCCAUCUGAAAAAGCAAAGGAAGAAGAAAAAUUACUGGAGUUCAGCUCAAAGCUGUGCCCACGUGGAUGCCUGCCAGCUCUGCCUUACUGCUCCCUCCCAGGCCACACUGGUGUACAUGGUCAACAUUUCCCUCUGAGCUGACCCAGCUAACAAACUUUGCAUAGAUUUUGGACACCAGCUUGACUCCCACAGUAGCAGAGCUUCUUUAAAGACUGGACAGGCAGGUGGAGAUUUGCAUUUUUGGUUGACGCUAUCGUCUGCUUGGUAUCUGUGGUCUGCCUGAAGGAACACAGAAAUGUCUACACCACAGCUGGAUCUGAGUCACAUCUUCCUAAGUCCACUCAGGAAUUUCUUUUACUUUUUUAACAAGCUCCCAGGUGUCACCAGCAAAUUGCAUUGAGCAACUCUUGUCUAGUCACCCAAAUCUUGAAGAAAAGAAACUUCAGCAUAUUCUGGAGGUCUCUGUUUUGCACAAGUUAAUCCUGUGAGCGAACAUAAUUCUUCAGUCUCCCUAGAAAUUACUCAGAUGAGAAGAACUACAUGUCUGAUUUCUUUUAAAGCAUUCUGGACAAGGCAAGCGAUGUUUCUGACAUCAUCUGCGAAACACCACGCUGCUGGUAAAACCAUCACAACAACUAAUGGACCGAGACAGUAAAACUCAAAACAGUAUUAAAAUCAGCCAUGAGUUUACAGAAGAUUCUGAACAGAGCAAAGCACAAUAUUCUCUGUGACACCGAGAAAGGAUACAUUCACUGAAAAUGAGUAGUCAGAAUGGAAAAGAUUUGCAUCGUGUCAAAAUACAGAGAAAAUGUCCCAAGCUACACAGAACCUGAUAAGGCUUUGUAGUAAGAAAGUAGGCAAGAGUUAGCAGGUGUGAAUUCUGCCUAGGAGAACCUAGGAAUGAUACCACAGCCCUGGAAGUGGGAGCUCAUGAACUCCUGCCUCAUAGCCACCCCAGGUAGAGAUGCAGCAUCAGGUAAGGGAGGACAGAUGUGCCAAGUACUACCCAGAGACGUAUUUCAGGAGUCCUCCCUUAACAGGCUCAAGCCAUAUUUCCCCUGGAUCACGUACCCAGAGAGAAAAGGCUGGAGCAGGAUAUGAAGGAGACCUUGCUGGGAAGAGAGUCUUGUUUAGUUACUUGGGAGGGUCUUCUCUCACAGAAUGGGGGUCAACAUCACCUCUGGAGCCACAGGGACUUUGCUGGAGAUUUGAGUUCAGAAGGCAGAACGUACCCUACCUUAGCAGAAGAGCACACUAGCAGAAGAUUAACUGACCUGAACCACAAGCACAGCAGGAAACUUUUGCUAGCAGAUGGAGGAGGUUCAAACAGAAAUACAUCAUCCAGAACUAAGAGUAAUCACAUUUCCCACUUAGAGUGAUUGUAACACUGUAGGAACUUUGAUUUCAUUACGUGACUGGUCCUGGCAUCCCUAUUCAUUUUCCCUGAGCGAUUCCAUGCCAAUAUACAUACAGCUACAGAGGUACA